GGAUCCGGCGGGCCACGAACUCCCCCAAAGAACCUGGGGAAAAGAACCAACCCCCCUCCUCCCACCCACCCGUCGACCACCGUCACCCAAACGAGUGACGCGGUUGCAACGAGCGGGCACGGAGGGUUACGUUCGCCGCAAACAACCACACAAAGACUUCGGCCCCCGACAGGACGGCAAUCCUGACCGAGGGCCUGACCACUCAGGAAGAAACGGCUUCCCA
RNAcentral lists this non-coding RNA (223 nucleotides) under Actinobacteria bacterium OK074. RNAcentral's name for it is "Streptomyces sRNA 4677". It matches the Rfam family "Streptomyces sRNA 4677". From Rfam's summary of the family: Located in the intergenic region between anti-sigma factor SCO4677 gene and a putative regulatory protein gene SCO4676. scr4677 expression requires the SCO4677 activity and scr4677 sRNA itself seem to affect the levels of the SCO4676-associated transcripts. Lineage: Bacteria; Bacillati; Actinomycetota; Actinomycetes. The record is from Rfam by way of RNAcentral.